Molecule: unclassified non-coding RNA, 240 nt
Filed under: Hevea brasiliensis (rubber tree)
Lineage: Eukaryota; Viridiplantae; Streptophyta; Magnoliopsida; Malpighiales; Euphorbiaceae
Source: RNAcentral
GCGAGCUCUCGCCGCCGCGAUUCUCCUACAGCAGCAAAUGCAAAACGGCGGAGGAGGUGGUGCUGCUCCUUUUGAUCGUUCAGCUUCGCUUCGGUAUCCGAAUUCGAAUUCUAAGAAGAAUCAACCUCUACCGCGUUCCUCAAGCUCUAGGGCUCGCUCUCUUACUGAUCCUCUUCUUCAGCCUCACCAGCUUGUGAACCAGGAAGUGAAGGUUGAUGAUUUAGAGACGAACCAUUUCGU